This 497-nucleotide ribosomal RNA is filed under the name uncultured bacterium. RNAcentral describes it as "partial 16S ribosomal RNA". It matches the Rfam family "Bacterial small subunit ribosomal RNA", at positions 28 to 507 of the family's 1533-position model. The record is from RNAcentral.
GAUGAACGCUGGCGGCGUGCCUAAUACAUGCAAGUCGAGCGAACGGACGAGAAGCUUGCUUCUCUGAUGUUAGCGGCGGACGGGUGAGUAACACGUGGAUAACCUACCUAUAAGACUGGGAUAACUUCGGGAAACCGGAGCUAAUACCGGAUAAUAUUUUGAACCGCAUGGUUCAAAAGUGAAAGACGCUCUUGCUUUCACUUAUAGAUGGAUCCGCGCUGCAUUAGCUAGUUGGUAAGGUAACGGCUUACCAAGGCAACGAUGCAUAGCCGACCUGAGAGGGUGAUCGGCCACACUGGAACUGAGACACGGUCCAGACUCCUACGGGAGGCAGCAGUAGGGAAUCUUCCGCAAUGGGCGAAAGCCUGACGGAGCAACGCCGCGUGAGUGAUGAAGGUCUUCGGAUCGUAAAACUCUGUUAUUAGGGAAGAACAUAUGUGUAAGUAACUGUGCACAUCUUGACGGUACCUAAUCAGAAAGCCACGGCUAACUACGUG